AGUCGGCGCCCCUCCCGCUUCAGCCAUGCUCUCCGCCCUCGCCCGGCCUGCCAGCGCUGUUCUCCGCCGCAGCUUCAGCACCUCGGCCCAGAACAAUGCUAAAGUAGCUGUGCUAGGGGCCUCUGGAGGCAUCGGGCAGCCACUUUCACUUCUCCUGAAGAACAGCCCCUUGGUGAGCCGCCUGACCCUCUAUGAUAUCGCGCACACACCUGGAGUGGCUGCAGAUCUGAGCCACAUCGAGACCAAAGCCGCUGUGAAAGGCUACCUCGGACCUGAACAGCUGCCUGACUGCCUGAAAGGUUGUGAUGUGGUAGUUAUUCCGGCCGGAGUACCCAGAAAGCCAGGCAUGACCCGGGACGACCUGUUCAACACCAAUGCCACGAUUGUGGCCACCCUGACCUCUGCCUGUGCCCAGCACUGCCCGGAAGCCAUGAUCUGCGUCAUUGCCAAUCCGGUGAGUGUGGCAGCACCUAGCUCUUGCAGCUAUGGCAGGUGUUUAGGUGCUGACAGUGCGUGAAAAGCUCACGAUUUGCAGCAAAGGCUGCUGAUGU
RNAcentral lists this small RNA (551 nucleotides) under Pongo abelii (Sumatran orangutan). Its description in RNAcentral is "retained intron". Lineage: Eukaryota; Metazoa; Chordata; Mammalia; Primates; Hominidae. The record is from RNAcentral.